RNAcentral lists this long non-coding RNA (1550 nucleotides) under Bemisia tabaci. RNAcentral's name for it is "lncRNA ENSSSA3NGG012466". Lineage: Eukaryota; Metazoa; Arthropoda; Insecta; Hemiptera; Aleyrodidae. The record is from RNAcentral.
AAAAUAUUGUUCCAAGGUACACAAGUUUUUCAGCUGAGAUACAUUGUUUCCAAAGAAUCUAAAAUGGCGUUUACGGCGUUUUUGCGUUGCACGGCAGAUUUAGAAUCCCUUCAUACUGAGAGUCAAGACAAUGUGAAUCCAUUUCUGAUUGGUUACCGUAUUUUAGGCCUCCACGGUGUCACAAACGGAAAUAAAGAUUACAUUUUCACCGAUUGCAAAGAUUAUAAUCUGGAAUGGACCGAGGAAUUACGAGUUCGGCAAGGAACAAACGGAAUGAGAGAAGGAACGGAGAAAGGAAUUUGAGAAUGGGCCGAUCAAAGAUUACGAAAAACGUUCGAUUUGUGUAAUCUUUAUUCCCGUUUGUGACUCCAUGAGGGGGGGGGUUGUCUUGACUUACAGUGUGGAGGGACUCUAGGCGCAUCUAAGCCCAUUAUUCCUCCAAUAACAAAAGAAAACUCGUGAAUUUCCAGCUCGAAGCGGCAACGCUGUGCGCGAGUCGCGGUGGCGGGAGAACCGCGGGGUGGCGGCACUCGCGAUUGUUACAAACGCGAACAAUCGCGCUCCGUCCGCUGGAACCGCGUCCGCGUGUGCUCAUGCUCGUGUCCGACCGGCCUCCGCGUGCGUAACGCUCCCUCUCCCGUGCGUAACGCUGCGCUCCUUGUCCCGUGCGUAACGCUUUCCCGUGAGCUUUUCCCCGGUGUUUUGUGCUCUGCACGAGCUUUGGAUUUUUUGGCCCAGGGAUUUUCUCGAUAGACGACAGGAUGCCCCCGGCCACCGAGAGGAUAGAUCUGGAAGAUGAUCAGCGGUUCGCUCUCAUGAAAUUCCGCAGGAAUGUCAAGGAUAUUUGCACGAAACCCGACCACGAUGACCACUUCUUGCUACGUUGGCUCAAGGACUUGCGGCUGUAUUCUCGGAUGAAAUUUAGUACCCGUAUUACGCUAAGCGAAGGCAUGUCCGAUAAGGGAAUUCCAGAGAGCGAAAGCACGGCAAUCCCGAACGAAUGCGGUGUUCUGAGAAAACUGUUACUUCAUCUCUUCGAGCUGCUCCGCUCCCUUUCUGCCGUGCUGAGAACAAAAAGCCGUAAGAACCUUCAGGUGCUGCCAAAUUUCCUUAGAUACAACGCGAAGUUCCCGGUAAAUUUGUGAAUAUUUUCCUUCCAAUUUUUUAGAUGAUUUAGUUCGCAAUUUCACUUAAAGAUUCUGAAAAUUUAAAGGAAAAAUAUUUACAUACAUACAUACAUACAUACAUAAGAGUCGCUCUCACAGCGCUCUCCGGCGCUCUGCGACGCCUAAACGCCACAAAACUCGGUCCUCCCACAGAUCAUCAGGGAGUUGGCACUCCCGUAUUUCAUCCAUAACCCCCUGUCGCCAACCUUUCACCGGGCGUCCCUUUCGUCUCCUCCCAGGAGGAACCCAAUCAAGCAUCUUUUUUGGCAGCCUCUCUUCCGUCAUCCUAUUGACAUGACCGUACCAGACAAGCUGUUUGGUCAUGACGUCGAACACGAUGUCAUUUUCGACCUCCAUGAUAUGACGUACUCUCUCAUUACGGAC